AGAGUUUGAUCCUGGCUCAGAACGAACGCUGGCGGCAGGCCUAACACAUGCAAGUCGAGCGCACCUUCGGGUGAGCGGCGGACGGGUUAGUAACGCGUGGGAAUAUACCCUUUGGUAAGGAAUAGCCUCUGGAAACGGAGAGUAAUACCUUAUGUGCCCUUCGGGGGAAAGAUUUAUCGCCAAAGGAUUAGCCCGCGUAAGAUUAGAUAGUUGGUGGGGUAAUGGCCUACCAAGUCUACGAUCUUUAGCUGGUUUGAGAGGAUGAUCAGCAACACUGGGACUGAGACACGGCCCAGACUCCUACGGGAGGCAGCAGUGGGGAAUCUUAAACAAUGGGCGAAAGCCUGAUCUAGCCAUGCCGCGUGAGUGACGAAAGCCUUAAGGUCGUAAAGCUCUUUCGCCAGAGAUGAUAAUGACAGUAUCUGGUAAAGAAACCCCGGCUAACUCCGUGCCAGCAGCCGCGGUAAUACGGAGGGGGUUAGCGUUGUUCGGAAUUACUGGGCGUAAAGCGUACGUAGGCGGAUUAGUCAGUCAGAGGUGAAAUCCCAGGGCUCAACCCUGGAACUGCCUUUGAUACUGCUAGUCUUGAGUUCGAGAGAGGUGAGUGGAAUUCCAAGUGUAGAGGUGAAAUUCGUAGAUAUUUGGAGGAACACCAGUGGCGAAGGCGGCUCACUGGCUCGAUACUGACGCUGAGGUACGAAAGUGUGGGGAGCAAACAGGAUUAGAUACCCUGGUAGUCCACACCGUAAACGAUGAAUGCCAGACGUCGGGGGGCUUGCCCUUCGGUGUCACACCUAACGGAUUAAGCAUUCCGCCUGGGGAGUACGGUCGCAAGAUUAAAACUCAAAGGAAUUGACGGGGGCCC
RNAcentral lists this ribosomal RNA (865 nucleotides) under uncultured Alphaproteobacteria bacterium. Its description in RNAcentral is "bacterial SSU rRNA". It matches the Rfam family "Bacterial small subunit ribosomal RNA", at positions 8 to 922 of the family's 1533-position model. Lineage: Bacteria; Pseudomonadati; Pseudomonadota; Alphaproteobacteria. The record is from RNAcentral.